CAAAUAUUUUCUGUUGAUAAUAUGGAUUUUGUUUUUUGUUUUACAGUUGUGUGGAUGGUACUAGGCAGUUGGUUCUGUGAUGACUGUAGCAUGAGGCAGAUGGUUUGAUCAGGUGAUUUCUUUGGUGGAUCGAAGAUGCGGGCGGUCGGCGGUCCGUGCUGCUCUUCAACUCGGUGAGCAACGUCCUUGGACUCCUGGUGUUCUGCGCGCGGUGGUACGGGCUGUCCCUCGGCUUGGCGGGUGAUGUCGUCCGGCUCCUCUCGGCGUUCUGUGGGGUGCGUUGCGACUUCAGUUUUGACAUUCUUGGAGGGCGUCUACCCAACAUGGCGAGGUGGGUGUGUGGUUUUCAGUUGGCGGCGGAAAUUCUGUGGUGUGAGGUGCGGACGUCCGGACCUCUGGAAUGGCGGUGCAUGGGCGUUUCUCCCGCGCGACAUCUUCCAUCUUUGAAAUCGCUGAUGUGGGCUCCAGGAUGCGGUGUGGUUCUUCCAUGAUUUAUUGAAUGGUAUAACAAUGCAAGUGCAGUGAAACGAGUGCGAACAUGUGAGGUUAUGUGAAAUGAUUACAAAUGAAUGAUGAUCAAAAGUUGAAACAGUGUAGAA
This is a long non-coding RNA of Nilaparvata lugens (brown planthopper), 599 nucleotides long. RefSeq lists it as uncharacterized. Lineage: Eukaryota; Metazoa; Arthropoda; Insecta; Hemiptera; Delphacidae. The record is from RefSeq and is a predicted model, not a curated record. The transcript has 3 exons.